UGGGGAAUUUUGGACAAUGGGGGAAACCCUGAUCCAGCCAUCCCGCGUGUGCGAUGAAGGCCUUCGGGUUGUAAAGCACUUUUGGCAGGAAAGAAACGUCAUGGGUUAAUACCCCGUGAAACUGACGGUACCUGCAGAAUAAGCACCGGCUAACUACGUGCCGGCAGCCGCGGUAAUACGUAGGGUGCAAGCGUUAAUCGGAAUUACUGGGCGUAAAGCGUGCGCAGGCGGUUCGGAAAGAAAUAUGUGAAAUCCCAGAGCUCAACUUUGGAACUGCAUUUUUAACUACCGGGCUAGAGUGUGUCAGAGGGAGGUGGAAUUCCGCGUGUAGCAGUGAAAUGCGUAGAUAUGCGGAGGAACACCGAUGGCGAAGGCAGCCUCCUGGGAUAACACUGACGCUCAUGCACGAAAGCGUGGGGAGCAAACAGG
Molecule: ribosomal RNA, 429 nt
Filed under: Acidobacteriota bacterium
Lineage: Bacteria; Pseudomonadati; Acidobacteriota
Description: Acidobacteria bacterium partial 16S ribosomal RNA
Rfam family: Bacterial small subunit ribosomal RNA
Source: RNAcentral